AGCAGCCGCCGCGGGAAUACGUAGGUGGCAAGCAUUGUCCGGAAUUAUUGGGCGUAAAGGGCUCGCAGGCGGUUUCUUAAGUCUGAUGUGAAAGCCCCCGGCUCAACCGGGGAGGGUCAUUGGAAACUGGGAAACUUGAGUGCAGAAGAGGAGAGUGGAAUUCCACGUGUAGCGGUGAAAUGCGUAGAGAUGUGGAGGAACACCAGUGGCGAAGGCGACUCUCUGGUCUGUAACUGACGCUGAGGAGCGAAAGCGUGGGGAGCGAACAGGAUUAGAUACCCGGUAGUCCCUGUCUCUUAUACC
This 303-nucleotide ribosomal RNA is filed under the name uncultured bacterium. RNAcentral describes it as "partial 16S ribosomal RNA". It matches the Rfam family "Bacterial small subunit ribosomal RNA", at positions 507 to 808 of the family's 1533-position model. The record is from RNAcentral.